Long non-coding RNA from Humulus lupulus (European hop), 492 nucleotides. RefSeq lists it as uncharacterized. The record is from RefSeq and is a predicted model, not a curated record. The transcript is spliced from 3 exons. NCBI's taxonomy places the organism in Eukaryota, Viridiplantae, Streptophyta, Magnoliopsida, Rosales, Cannabaceae.
AAUCUGACCACGAAAUUUCCUCAGCUCAUCUCCAAAAUCGCUGAUUCUAAUCUCCCAAUCGUUAUCAUCGACUAGAAUCGGAGCUUCGAUGGACUGUCUGGAAGAGAGCCGGCAGUACAGAACUACCAGAAUGUUGUCUCCGAGCAUGAAGGCCAAGAUUGUGAACCCUGAAACUGGUGAAGCUUUAUCGGUUAACCGGACCAACAAGCUUUGGUUGAGGGGUCCAACAAUCAUGAAAGGUUAUUUCAGCAAUGAAGAAGCAACUCAUCAACUAUUGACUCAGAAAGAUGGUUAAGAACUGGUGAUCUCUACUUUUGCAUUAUUCCUGAAAGUAUGGGAAGGCCUUACUUUUGCAUUGUAUUAGUGCAGAUGGCAUUUUUUGAAAGCAAGAAGGUUAAGUCAUUUGAAUCAACAGCUGAAGUAGAUGAGUGGCUGUUUUCUAAUCCUAUGUUGACCCCAGAGCCUUGCAUUUUGCUAAACUAAAUGCUACUA